UAAAAAUCUACUUCCGGUCCAGCUCAGUAGCCCUAGAGUUCCGGCCCCGGAGCGCAGCUUGUGCCGAGCAGAGGCGGGGCCUGGGGACUGGGCGUUAACAUCCCGCUUUGAACAGCCAGAGGGAUCCUUCUAAACGUACUAGGAUAUCAGAUGAUGUCAUGCCCUGGUCUCCACUUACCAAAAACUUCCCAGCACACAUGGAAUAAAAUCUAGCUCUGCACUCCUCUCCAACCUCACUUGUCUCCUUCAACAUUUUCCUCAUUCAUCAUUCUCCAGUUACACUAAUCUCCUUGCUGUUCCUCAAACCCAGCAAGGAAAGCUUCCACCUUGGUGCUUUGUCUUCUUCACACCAUCUCUAAAAGGAAAAACACGGCCCACACAGAACCAGUCCAAAAUGGAUGAAUCUACACUGAUUUAGAUGGAGCCAGGUCAGAUGGGAGCUAGUUCAAACCAGAG
Molecule: long non-coding RNA, 456 nt
Organism: Symphalangus syndactylus (siamang)
Lineage: Eukaryota; Metazoa; Chordata; Mammalia; Primates; Hylobatidae
Source: RefSeq, a predicted model, not a curated record